This 459-nucleotide ribosomal RNA is filed under the name uncultured bacterium. RNAcentral describes it as "partial 16S ribosomal RNA". It matches the Rfam family "Bacterial small subunit ribosomal RNA", at positions 338 to 795 of the family's 1533-position model. The record is from RNAcentral.
CCUACGGGUGGCUGCAGUGAGGAAUAUUGGUCAAUGGGCGGGAGCCUGAACCAGCCAAGCCGCGUGAGGGAAGAAGGUACAGCGUAUCGUAAACCUCUUCUGUCAGGGAACAAAUGCGGGGACUCGUCCCCUUAUGAGUGUACCUUAAGAACAAGCAUCGGCUAACUCCGUGCCAGCAGCCGCGGUAAUACGGAGGAUGCGAGCGUUAUCCGGAUCUAUUGGGUUUAAAGGGUGCGCAGGCGGCCUGUUAAGUCAGCGGUAAAAGCCCGGGGCUCAACCCCGGCGAGCCGUUGAAACUGGCGGGCUGGAGUUGGAGAGAGGUGCGCAGAAUUCGCGGUGUAGCGGUGAAAUGCUUAGAUAUCGCGCAGAACCCCGAUUGCGAAGGCAGCGUACCGGAUCCAGACUGACGCUGAGGCACGAAAGCGUGGGUAUCGAACAGGAUUAGAUACCCCUGUAGUC